RNAcentral lists this ribosomal RNA (1374 nucleotides) under uncultured bacterium. Its description in RNAcentral is "bacterial SSU rRNA". It matches the Rfam family "Bacterial small subunit ribosomal RNA", at positions 28 to 1381 of the family's 1533-position model. The record is from RNAcentral.
GAUGAACGCUGGCGGCGUGCCUAAUACAUGCAAGUCGAGCGAACGGACGAGAAGCUUGCUUCUCUGAUGUUAGCGGCGGACGGGUGAGUAACACGUGGAUAACCUACCUAUAAGACUGGGAUAACUUCGGGAAACCGGAGCUAAUACCGGAUAAUAUUUUGAACCGCAUGGUUCAAAAGUGAAAGACGGUCUUGCUGUCACUUAUAGAUGGAUCCGCGCUGCAUUAGCUAGUUGGUAAGGUAACGGCUUACCAAGGCAACGAUGCAUAGCCGACCUGAGAGGGUGAUCGGCCACACUGGAACUGAGACACGGUCCAGACUCCUACGGGAGGCAGCAGUAGGGAAUCUUCCGCAAUGGGCGAAAGCCUGACGGAGCAACGCCGCGUGAGUGAUGAAGGUCUUCGGAUCGUAAAACUCUGUUAUUAGGGAAGAACAUAUGUGUAAGUAACUGUGCACAUCUUGACGGUACCUAAUCAGAAAGCCACGGCUAACUACGUGCCAGCAGCCGCGGUAAUACGUAGGUGGCAAGCGUUAUCCGGAAUUAUUGGGCGUAAAGCGCGCGUAGGCGGUUUUUUAAGUCUGAUGUGAAAGCCCACGGCUCAACCGUGGAGGGUCAUUGGAAACUGGAAAACUUGAGUGCAGAAGAGGAAAGUGGAAUUCCAUGUGUAGCGGUGAAAUGCGCAGAGAUAUGGAGGAACACCAGUGGCGAAGGCGACUUUCUGGUCUGUAACUGACGCUGAUGUGCGAAAGCGUGGGGAUCAAACAGGAUUAGAUACCCUGGUAGUCCACGCCGUAAACGAUGAGUGCUAAGUGUUAGGGGGUUUCCGCCCCUUAGUGCUGCAGCUAACGCAUUAAGCACUCCGCCUGGGGAGUACGACCGCAAGGUUGAAACUCAAAGGAAUUGACGGGGACCCGCACAAGCGGUGGAGCAUGUGGUUUAAUUCGAAGCAACGCGAAGAACCUUACCAAAUCUUGACAUCCUUUGACAACUCUAGAGAUAGAGCCUUCCCCUUCGGGGGGGGCAAAGUGACAGGUGGUGCAUGGUUGUCGUCAGCUCGUGUCGUGAGAUGUUGGGUUAAGUCCCGCAACGAGCGCAACCCUUAAGCUUAGUUGCCAUCAUUAAGUUGGGCACUCUAAGUUGACUGCCGGUGACAAACCGGAGGAAGGUGGGGAUGACGUCAAAUCAUCAUGCCCCUUAUGAUUUGGGCUACACACGUGCUACAAUGGACAAUACAAAGGGCAGCGAAACCGCGAGGUCAAGCAAAUCCCAUAAAGUUGUUCUCAGUUCGGAUUGUAGUCUGCAACUCGACUACAUGAAGCUGGAAUUGCUAGUAAUCGUAGAUCAGCAUGCUACGGUGAAUACGUUCCCGGGUCU